Molecule: ribosomal RNA, 484 nt
Filed under: uncultured bacterium
Lineage: Bacteria
Description: partial 16S ribosomal RNA
Rfam family: Bacterial small subunit ribosomal RNA
Source: RNAcentral
AUUGAACGCUGGCGGCAGGCCUAACACAUGCAAGUCGAGCGGAUGAAGGGAGCUUGCUUCUGGAUUCAGCGGCGGACGGGUGAGUAAUGCCUAGGAAUCUGCCUGGUAGUGGGGGAUAACGUCCGGAAACGGGCGCUAAUACCGCAUACGUCCUGAGGGCGAACGUGGGGGAUCAUCGGACCUCACGCUAUCAGAUGAGCCUAGGUCGGAUUAGCUAGUUGGUGGGGUAAAGGCCUACCAAGGCGACGAUCCGUAACUGGUCUGAGAGGAUGAUCAGUCACACUGGAACUGAGACACGGUCCAGACUCCUACGGGAGGCAGCAGUGGGGAAUAUUGGACAAUGGGCGAAAGCCUGAUCCAGCCAUGCCGCGUGUGUGAAGAAGGUCUUCGGAUUGUAAAGCACUUUAAGUUGGGAGGAAGGGCAGUAAGUUAAUACCUUGCUGUUUUGACGUUACCAACAGAAUAAGCACCGGCUAACUUCGUG